CCAGCACCUGCGGUAAUUCCAGCUCCAAUAGCGUAUAUUAAAGUUGUUGCAGUUAAAAAGCUCGUAGUUGAAUUUCUGGUAGGGUGCCAAUGUCCGCCGCCGUGCGUGCGCAGCGGCGCCCUUCCAUCCUUCUGUCAACGCUUCUUGGCAUUCGUUUGCUGGUAGCGGGCUCAGAUAUUUUAACUUGAGAAAAUUAGAGUGUUUCAGGCAGGCUAGGCAGGAAUACAUUAGCAUGGAAUAAUGGAAUAGGAAUACGGUCUCUUUGUUGGUUUGAGGGACUGCAGUAAUGAUUAAUAGGGAUAGUUGGGGGCAUUAGUAUUUAAUUGUCAGAGGUGAAAUUAUUGGAUUUGUUAAAGACUAACUUAUGCGAAAGCAUUUGCCAAGGAUGUUUUUAUUAAUCAAGAACGAAAGU
Molecule: ribosomal RNA, 412 nt
Filed under: uncultured eukaryote
Lineage: Eukaryota
Description: SSU rRNA
Rfam family: Eukaryotic small subunit ribosomal RNA
Source: RNAcentral